CUACGGUGAAUACGUUCCCGGACCUUGCACACACCGCCCGUCAAGCCAUGGGAGCCGGGUGUACCUAAAGUCGGUAACCGUAAGGAGCCGCCUAGGGUAAAACUAGUGACUGGGGCU
This 117-nucleotide ribosomal RNA is filed under the name uncultured bacterium. Its description in RNAcentral is "partial 16S ribosomal RNA". It matches the Rfam family "Bacterial small subunit ribosomal RNA", at positions 1357 to 1482 of the family's 1533-position model. The record is from RNAcentral.